AGCUUAUCAGUGAUGUUGUAAAAAUAAAUGUCUGAACAUAUGAAUUACCAUAUUGAUUUCAGCAUUGGACUGAGAUAAGCU
Molecule: small nucleolar RNA, 81 nt
Organism: Otolemur garnettii (small-eared galago)
Lineage: Eukaryota; Metazoa; Chordata; Mammalia; Primates; Galagidae
Gene: SNORD72
Product: small nucleolar RNA, C/D box 72
Source: Ensembl